RNAcentral lists this ribosomal RNA (273 nucleotides) under uncultured bacterium. Its description in RNAcentral is "partial 16S ribosomal RNA". It matches the Rfam family "Bacterial small subunit ribosomal RNA", at positions 524 to 796 of the family's 1533-position model. The record is from RNAcentral.
UACGAAGGGGGCUAGCGUUGUUCGGAAUUACUGGGCGUAAAGGGCGCGUAGGCGGCUCUGAUCGUCGGAUGUGAAAGGCCUGGGCUCAACCUGGGAACGGCAUCCGAUACGGCAGGGCUUGAGUGUGGGAGAGGUUGGUGGAAUUCCCAGUGUAGAGGUGAAAUUCGUAGAUAUUGGGAAGAACACCGGUGGCGAAGGCGGCCAACUGGACCACAACUGACGCUGAGGCGCGAAAGCGUGGGGAGCAAACAGGAUUAGAAACCCUUGUAGUCC